CCUACGGGAGGCUGCAGUGGGGAAUAUUGCACAAUGGGCGCAAGCCUGAUGCAGCCAUGCCGCGUGUGUGAAGAAGGCCUUCGGGUUGUAAAGCACUUUCAGCGGGGAGGAAGGCGGUGAGGUUAAUAACCUCAUCGAUUGAAGUUACCCGCAGAAGAAGCACCGGCUAACUCCGUGCCAGCAGCCGCGGUAAUACGGAGGGUGCAAGCGUUAAUCGGAAUUACUGGGCGUAAAGCGCACGCAGGCGGUCUGUCAAGUCGGAUGUGAAAUCCCCGGGCUCAACCUGGGAACUGCAUUCGAAACUGGCAGGCUAGAGUCUUGUAGAGGGGGGUAGAAUUCCAGGUGUAGCGGUGAAAUGCGUAGAGAUCUGGAGGAAUACCGGUGGCGAAGGCGGCCCCCUGGACAAAGACUGACGCUCAGGUGCGAAAGCGUGGGGAGCAAACAGGAUUAGAUACCCGUGUAGUC
Molecule: ribosomal RNA, 465 nt
Filed under: uncultured Klebsiella sp.
Lineage: Bacteria; Pseudomonadati; Pseudomonadota; Gammaproteobacteria; Enterobacterales; Enterobacteriaceae
Description: bacterial SSU rRNA
Rfam family: Bacterial small subunit ribosomal RNA
Source: RNAcentral